This 520-nucleotide ribosomal RNA is filed under the name uncultured Glomus. RNAcentral's name for it is "SSU rRNA". It matches the Rfam family "Eukaryotic small subunit ribosomal RNA", at positions 569 to 1090 of the family's 1831-position model. The record is from RNAcentral. Lineage: Eukaryota; Fungi; Glomeromycota; Glomeromycetes; Glomerales; Glomeraceae.
AGCAGCCGCGGUAAUUCCAGCUCCAAUAGCGUAUAUUAAAGUUGUUGCAGUUAAAAAGCUCGUAGUUGAAUUUCGAGACCGGUUUACUGGUCGUGCUUUUGUACGUACUGGUAUUAUUGGUUUCUCCUUUCUGACGAAUCUUAAUGCCAUUAAUUUGGUGUUUUGGGGAAUCAGGACUGUUACUUUGAAAAAAAUUAGAGUGUUUAAAGCAGGCUCACGCUUGAAUACAUUAGCAUGGAAUAGCGGAAUAGGACGUUUGAUUCUAUUUUGUUGGUUUCUAGGAUCGACGUAAUGAUUAAUAGGGAUAGUUGGGGGCAUUAGUAUUCAAUUGUCAGAGGUGAAAUUCUUGGAUUUAUUGAAGACUAACUACUGCGAAAGCAUUUGCCAAGGAUGUUUCAUUAAUCAANAACGAAAGUUAGGGAUCGAAGACGAUCAGAUACCGUCGUAGUCUUAACCAUAAACUAUAGCCGACUAGGGAUCGGAUGAUGUUAAUUUUUUAAUGUACUCAUUCGGCGCCUUA